Molecule: ribosomal RNA, 529 nt
Filed under: uncultured bacterium
Lineage: Bacteria
Description: bacterial SSU rRNA
Rfam family: Bacterial small subunit ribosomal RNA
Source: RNAcentral
AAUAGAUACCCAGGUAGUCCACGCCGUAAACGAUGAGUGCUAAGUGUUAGAGGGCUUCCACCCUUUAGUGCUGCAGCUAACGCAUUAAGCACUCCGCCUGGGGAGUACGGCCGCAAGGCUGAAACUCAAAGGAAUUGACGGGGGCCCGCACAAGCGGUGGAGCAUGUGGUUUAAUUCGAAGCAACGCGAAGAACCUUACCAGGUCUUGACAUCCUUCGCUACCUCUAGAGAUAGAGGGUUCCCCUUCGGGGGACGGAGUGACAGGUGGUGCAUGGUUGUCGUCAGCUCGUGUCGUGAGAUGUUGGGUUAAGUCCCGCAACGAGCGCAACCCUUGACCUUAGUUGCCAGCAUUCAGUUGGGCACUCUAAGGUGACUGCCGGUGACAAACCGGAGGAAGGUGGGGAUGACGUCAAAUCAUCAUGCCCCUUAUGACCUGGGCUACACACGUGCUACAAUGGAUGGUACAAAGGGUCGUGAAACCGCGAGGUGGAGCUAAUCCCAAAAAACCAUUCUCAGUUCGGAUUGCAGG